This 134-nucleotide Y RNA is filed under the name Rhizobium leguminosarum. Its description in RNAcentral is "Y RNA-like". It matches the Rfam family "Y RNA-like". From Rfam's summary of the family: In Deinococcus radiodurans Rsr is tethered via Y RNA to the exoribonuclease PNPase and channels single-stranded RNA into the PNPase cavity. The record is from RNAcentral. RNAcentral also lists the same sequence under 1 other name. Lineage: Bacteria; Pseudomonadati; Pseudomonadota; Alphaproteobacteria; Hyphomicrobiales; Rhizobiaceae.
GUGACGAAUGCCGGAUGAAACUACAGAUCGUUAAAUCUCCAGGUCGCGGGUUCGAAUCCCGUCGGGCCUCCAAUUCAUGGACCCGUAGCUCAGCGGAUAGAGCAGGAUGUUUCACCACACCUCGUCGUCACGGA